GGUUCCCCGUGGAUCUAGCGUCGCAGGAGUGUUCUGAACUGUGUGUAUCAGAAGAGAAACUGAAUCGUUUUAUCCUGUCUGUAUUCUUACAGAGCUGGACUUUACCUUUUCUGCAGAGGGCCAUGUGGCUGCCCAGCUCAUCUUACAAGAGGACAAGGGGAGCAGCCUGAAGUUCUAGGUCUGGAAGCCCAGGGUAGAGGACAGCCGGGUGAGGUGAGGCCUUGGUCCUGGCUGUCUCCUCUUAACAUGGAGUAUUGAAGAAGGGUGUGCAAAGUUUUUCUUUUUUUUGGUACCAGGGAUUGAACUCAGGGGCACUCGACCAUUAAGCCACAUCCCCAGCCCUAUUUUGUAUUUAUUUAAAAUGAGACAGGGUCUCAUUGAGUUGCUUAGUGCCUGAGCAACUGAGGCUGGCUUUGAACUCGUGAUCCUCUUGCCUCAACCUCCCAAGCUGCUGUAAUUACAGGAAUGUGCCGCCACACCGGCUAAAAUUUUUGUGAAACACAAAAUUCUGGGCAUUAGGGUAGUCUGAAAGAAAAAGUAGUCCUGCUUUUUGUAAAUAUAAAAGCCAACACUACAUGUAUAUGAAGUAUAGAGGUAUCUGUCCUGUCCAGUGUGGAGGGAGGAAGUGAGGAUGACUAAAUCUUUCUUACUCAUCCUGCCUUGUGUCCUUGUAUCACUACUAACAAUGAACUCAAUUCUUUCCUAUUUGAAACAAGAUAAAAAAAAAAAAACAUUAACUUCUGUACACAGGUCUGGGACAGUACUGCCUGCGUCUUACUUUCUUACCUGACUCUCUGCACCAAGUCCCUCACCCUCCCUGGGGGACUGGUUCCAGCCCUUGGUCUAGAUAUAAAAUUGCAGAAGUAAUAGCUUUUGGGGGGGAAGUACUGGGAAUUGAACCCAGGGGUGCUUUACCACUGAGCCACAUCCCUAGCUGCUUUUAUUUUUUUGAGACAGGCCAUCGCUAAGUUGCUCAGGCUGGACUGGAACUUUCGAUCCUCCUACUUUAGCCCUCUGAGCUGCUGGGAUUAUAGGCUGUGGCACUGCAACUGGCAAGAAUAGCUUUUGCAUAGAACCUGCAUACAUCAUCCCAUGUUAUCUAUCUAUCUAUCUAUCUUUAUUUGUUUAUUUAUUUAUAUUCACCAGGGAUUGAACCCAGGGGAGCUUUGCCACUGAGCUGCAUCCCAACCCCACUUUAUAUUUGAUUUAGAGACAGGGUAUUAGGGCUGAGUUGCUUAGCCCUCGCUAAGCUGCUGAGGUUGGCUUUGAACUCACAAUCCUGUUGCCUCAGCAUCCUGAGCCGCUGGGAUUACAGGAGUGUGUCACCAUGCCUGGCUCAUCCUGUAUAUUUUAAAUCAUUUCUAGAUGAUGGCCACCAGUCGUUUGGACAUGGUGAGCUGGGGACAGAGCAAGUGAGGGUCAGCAUCACAAUCUUCCAGGUGCAGUCGUUGUGGAGAGAUCUUUCUGGCCACAGCCGUGUCCUCCUUUCUGGAGGACCUGGGCUCCCAGGUGGCCAGGCAGCUCCACCUUCUCCCUUCUGUCCCUCCUACCUUCUGGGAAGGCUUCUCUGCCCUCCCCCAGCCCCAGGUUCCCAGUCUGCAGAGGCUGCCUGGGCCACCCAUGGAGCCCUGGCUCCCAGGUCCCAAGGCAGAGGCCUCAUGCAGCCAGGUUAGUUUGACCCAGGAGGGGCCGAG
Molecule: long non-coding RNA, 1694 nt
Filed under: Marmota monax (woodchuck)
Lineage: Eukaryota; Metazoa; Chordata; Mammalia; Rodentia; Sciuridae
Source: RNAcentral